UUGGACAAACAUCAGAGCAUAAGGAAACACGGGGCUGGACAACACACAAUAUCAGCUAAAAACAAAUGCGUUAUCAUAUAGUUAUCAUAUACCGAUGCUCUCUGAGCCGCCCCAGUCUGCUGUGAGCCUCUGAGCGCUGCUGGGACUGAAGGAAGUGUUUGGAUUGCCCAGCCGAGCAAAGCUCACCAGCUCUGAUCUGGAUUCAUCGGGUGUUCCCAUCACAAAGUAAUUGUGACGGAUGUGUGGCACCUCAUCCAGAAGUGAGGAGAGACUGUGGCAAAGAGCAACUAUCUGCCCUCGGACACAAUACUCUGACAUACGCUUGUUAAAUCUGAAAGAGACACAUAAUCAUAGCUGAUGCAGAGAACACCAUAAUAUAAAAUGUAAGGCCAUUUCCUCCUUUAAUUGAAAAUAAAGAGAGAGAAACACUGUUUACUGACUAAACAUACUUGUGACAGAACUCCAAAAUCAGUUUCCUCUUGAUCCUGCCCACUUCUUCCUAUUGAGAGAAGGACAGAUGGAUGGAUGAUGGAUGAAAACUAAGGUGCAUUUCCAUUUAUUUUGCAAAUAAAAUCAUGCUCACAUACAGAGUUUAA
Molecule: long non-coding RNA, 596 nt
Organism: Carassius gibelio (silver crucian carp)
Lineage: Eukaryota; Metazoa; Chordata; Actinopteri; Cypriniformes; Cyprinidae
Exons: 2
Source: RefSeq, a predicted model, not a curated record